Molecule: ribosomal RNA, 486 nt
Filed under: uncultured bacterium
Lineage: Bacteria
Description: partial 16S ribosomal RNA
Rfam family: Bacterial small subunit ribosomal RNA
Source: RNAcentral
AUUGAACGCUGGCGGCAUGCCUUACACAUGCAAGUCGAACGGCAGCGCGGGAGCAAUCCUGGCGGCGAGUGGCGAACGGGUGAGUAAUAUAUCGGAACGUGCCCAGUAGUGGGGGAUAGCCCGGCGAAAGCCGGAUUAAUACCGCAUACGACCUGAGGGUGAAAGCGGGGGAUCGCAAGACCUCGCGCGAUUGGAGCGGCCGAUAUCAGAUUAGGUAGUUGGUGGGGUAAAGGCCUACCAAGCCGACGAUCUGUAGCUGGUCUGAGAGGACGACCAGCCACACUGGGACUGAGACACGGCCCAGACUCCUACGGGAGGCAGCAGUGGGGAAUAUUGGACAAUGGGGGAAACCCUGAUCCAGCAAUGCCGCGUGAAUGAUGAAGGCCUUAGGGUUGUAAAGUUCUUUCACCUGUGAAGAUAAUGACGGUAGCAGGAGAAGAAGCCCCGGCAAACUCCGUGCCAGCAGCCGCGGUAAGGAUGAGACGU